RNAcentral lists this ribosomal RNA (301 nucleotides) under uncultured bacterium. Its description in RNAcentral is "partial 16S ribosomal RNA". It matches the Rfam family "Bacterial small subunit ribosomal RNA", at positions 509 to 809 of the family's 1533-position model. The record is from RNAcentral.
CAGUCGCCGCGGUAAUACGAAGGGUGCAAGCGUUAAUCGGAAUUACUGGGCGUAAAGCGUGCGUAGGCGGUGAGUUAAGUCUGCUGUGAAAUCCCCGGGCUCAACCUGGGAACUGCAUUUGUGACUGUAUAGCUAGAGUACGGCAGAGGGGGAUGGAAUUCCGCGUGUAGCAGUGAAAUGCGUAGAUAUGCGGAGGAACACCGAUGGCGAAGGCAAUCCCCUGGGCCUGUACUGACGCUCAUGCACGAAAGCGUGGGGAGCAAACAGGAUUAGAUACCCGCGUAGUCCCUGUCUCUUAUAA